UACGGAAGGCAGCAGUGGGGAAUAUUGCACAAUGGGCGCAAGCCUGAUGCAGCCAUGCCGCGUGUAUGAAAAAGGCCUUCGGGUUGUAAAGUACUUUCAGUCGUGAGGAAGGUGUUAAGGUUAAUAACCUUAGCAAUUGACGUUAGCGACAGAAGAAGCACCGGCUAACUCCGUGCCAGCAGCCGCGGUAAUACGGAGGGUGCGAGCGUUAAUCGGAAUUACUGGGUGUAAAGGGCACGCAGGCGGUUAAUUAAGUUGGAUGUGAAAUCCCCGGGCUUAACCUGGGAAUGGCAUUCAAGACUGGUUAGCUAGAGUCUUGUAGAGGGGGGUAGAAUUCCAUGUGUAGCGGUGAAAUGCGUAGAGAUGUGGAGGAAUACCGGUGGCGAAGGCGGCCCCUGGACCAAAGACUGACGCUCAUGUGCGAAAGCGUGGGGAGCAAACAGGGAUUAGAUACCCGU
Molecule: ribosomal RNA, 458 nt
Filed under: uncultured bacterium
Lineage: Bacteria
Description: bacterial SSU rRNA
Rfam family: Bacterial small subunit ribosomal RNA
Source: RNAcentral